GAUCAUGGCUCAGGAUGAACGCUAGCUACAGGCUUAACACAUGCAGGUCGAGGGACAGCAUGACGAUAGCUUGCUAUUGUUGAUGGCGACCGGCGCACGGGUGAGUAACGCGUAUCCAACCUUCCCGUUGCUAGGGGAUAACCUUGCGAAAGUAAGACUAAUACCCUAUGAAGUUCUUCGCAGACAUCUAAAGAGAACGAAAGAUUUAUCGGCAACGGAUGGGGAUGCGU
Molecule: ribosomal RNA, 230 nt
Filed under: uncultured bacterium
Lineage: Bacteria
Description: partial 16S ribosomal RNA
Rfam family: Bacterial small subunit ribosomal RNA
Source: RNAcentral